GUCUAUGGCCAUGAUACCCUGAACAAGCCUGAUCCCAUUUGAUCUCGGAAGCUAAGCAGGGUGAGGCCUGGUUAGUAUUUGGAUGGGAGACCACCUAGGAAGACCGGGUGCUGUAGGCA
RNAcentral lists this ribosomal RNA (119 nucleotides) under Pteropus alecto (black flying fox). Lineage: Eukaryota; Metazoa; Chordata; Mammalia; Chiroptera; Pteropodidae. The record is from RNAcentral.